CUUCAACGAGCCCAGCCACAGCGGCUGUUCCGCGUCACGGCCCUGCCCGUACGUGGCCAGCAGGGCCUGCGCCUC
RNAcentral lists this antisense RNA (75 nucleotides) under Streptomyces sp. KS 21. RNAcentral's name for it is "ASpks TB sRNA". It matches the Rfam family "ASpks TB sRNA". The record is from RNAcentral. Lineage: Bacteria; Bacillati; Actinomycetota; Actinomycetes; Kitasatosporales; Streptomycetaceae.